RNAcentral lists this long non-coding RNA (835 nucleotides) under Actinidia chinensis (golden kiwifruit). RNAcentral's name for it is "long non-coding RNA (ACHI_LNC007173)". Lineage: Eukaryota; Viridiplantae; Streptophyta; Magnoliopsida; Ericales; Actinidiaceae. The record is from RNAcentral.
GAAGCCCUUGAAUAUAAAUUAAACCGUAAUAUCAAUAAAGUUUAUUCUUAUGACUAACAUGUGUUUAUAUGUACUAUGGUUUAGCGAAGACAUAUAAUAUGACUACUGUAUUUAUUUGAGAGCAGUGGGGGACGGAUUUUAUUGAUUUUAGUUUUCGUUUAUCAAGUAAAAACAACUUAAAUGAUGUUUUUUCUCAAAAAAAAAAAAAAUCCCAAUAAAUUAACUAAAGGAAUUACACCAAAUUGAUAAUUGAUAUUAAUCAAAAUAUUUACAAUAUUUCUUUUAGCAACACACUGAUCUCCAGAAGAAAAUAGUUGCACCACCAGGAGUUAUUUGGGCCGUGUUUGGAUUCAUGUUUAGUAGAGAAAAAAGAAAAGAGUUGUAUCUUUUUUCUUUCACAAAACCAUCCCUAAAUCUUUUAUCCAAACACAACCAUGAGAAUUUAACAUAACACACCGGCAAAUUUGACCGAAAUAUCCAUUUCAACGGUUGUUUUCUGGCCAAUUAAGGAGCGGCAAAAGCAUCGUCCACCCAUUUUUCCUGGUGGGCUGAGACCUUGCCGGGACUGGCGGCGGAGGGAGAGCCAACGAGGGCCUUGACGGCCGCGCGAACCUUCUCCGGAGGACCACUUUUUUCUCUAGUGUCCCGGUGGAGGGAGUUGGCUUCAAAUAAAUAUGGGUCGACACAAGGCUUCCAUUCUCUGUCUCUUCUCUAAGAUCUUCCGGGUUGUUUUCGUUGAUGUUCUUGGUUUCGGAUAUAAUGGAAGACAUAUAUAUAAAGGGAAGGAAAUAGAAUAGAUGGGAGUUUGUAACAUGGAUGGAGUGGAGGAUUGUGC